GAUCUUUAUUCCUGUGUUGCCCUAAGGUAAUUGUCACUGCCACUGAAUUCCUGUUCCACUAGCAAAAGAGCAGGCCAGCUGUGCGGUGGGAGGGACAGUUUCUUGCAGAGGCACACAGAAGAUCCCUCAGCUUAUAAAUGGAGAUUGGCUCAGAAUUUAAAACCAAGACUCUGACUCCAGAGCCUGUUUUCUUAAUUCUUCUUCCCAGGAUUUUGAAGGACCUCACUCUCAUUUUCAUCAGGAACAGUGAAGAGAGUUAGAUCCUUCUUCCAUAUUAAUUCUUCCAUCUUCCAGCUAAUACCAUUUAUCUACCCACUCACCUCUCCAUGCAUCCACCCCUCUAGCCAUCCAUCCAUCCAUCCAUCCAUCCAUCCAUUCAUCCAUUCAUCCAUCCAUUCAUGUAUGCUUACAUUUACUUAUUUGCACCUUAACUACCAAAUGUGUAACAAUUCCUUUCGGUAACAAUUGCUUUUAUAUCAUCAUGAGCCUCAUCACAGUGACUAAUUUCAGAGAAAGAUUUGAGGAUCUGGACUUAGAGAUUGGCAUUGAAUGUCGCUGAGCAAACAACAGACAGAUGUUAAGAAGAGCUCUGCUGUUUGGGAGUCUCCCUUCCUAGGAGUGCUCCCUGAAGGCUCCACUCUUUGGACUCCACUAAUAGAUUUCUUUGCCUUUUGGCUUUCGGCUGGAUCCGGUCAAUGGUUGGGGAGAGGAAGACACAAGCAGCAUGCCAGAGGAGAUAUGGAGGAGAGUUGGAUUGAUAUUUAUUUUCCUGGAUUUUGCCACUCAGACUUGCUUUGGGCUGGUUGCAACCCUUGACUGAAGUUCAUCCUCCUAUUAGGGACUUCUGGGUAUUUGCUUCCUCAUCUUCAUCCUUCAUCAAGCCCUUACAGCUCCAGCCUUUUGCACUAUCUCCAGUUAUUUCUCUACCUUUGCCCAUGCCUUUGUAAUAAUUCACUUUGUUAAAUUUUCUUUGAAUUAUCCAAAUUUCCUGCCACAAGCCCUCUGAUACACAAUCAGUUGGAGUUAUGGAACCCUAAAGGAAGUCUUUUAACCUAUUUAUGUGUGAUAGUUCUCCAUUGAACGUUAUGUAAUACCAGCCUUCACUUUUACCAGGAAGUUGUAAAGGCAAAAUGAGGAAGUAGAAAAAGGGGCUCUGGGAGGCUUAAAAUAAAAAAAAUAAUUACAAAGUAAGGCA
RNAcentral lists this long non-coding RNA (1195 nucleotides) under Vulpes vulpes (red fox). RNAcentral describes it as "lncRNA (ENSVVUG00000026547.1)". Lineage: Eukaryota; Metazoa; Chordata; Mammalia; Carnivora; Canidae. The record is from RNAcentral.